Molecule: long non-coding RNA, 1613 nt
Filed under: Lynx canadensis (Canada lynx)
Lineage: Eukaryota; Metazoa; Chordata; Mammalia; Carnivora; Felidae
Description: lncRNA (ENSLCNG00005017010.1)
Source: RNAcentral
AUGUCUCCCGGGGAGGGGCGUGGUCUUUUCUCGGCUCCGCCUCAAGGGCGGGCCUGGGAUACCCCUGGCUCAGGGAGUCCCUUUCUCAGCCCCGGCCCCGCGCUCGCGCCGGGUCCCCGGCCCCGCCCCCGCCCCGGCCCCGCCCCCGCCCACCAACCCCACCCAGUUAGCAAACGCUUCCAGUCUGCAGCUGUCGCCUCUGUCUCAGCAGCAGCCGCCACAGCCCGAGAGGUGUCUGACCUAAUCCACCUCCGGAGCCGGAUCUUUCUGCGUCUGGGUCCUCGGCAAAGACUGCUGGUGAGUGGGAGCCGGGACGCCCCGUGUCUGAGGGAGGAGGGGCUGGGGGCCCGGCCUCCUUGGGUCUGAGGGCAGAGGGGGCUUCCCGCCCAGACUUUUGUGUCAGAGGGAGGAGCAUCUGGGGGCCUGGACUCCUGGGUCCGAGAGAAGGACCUGGGUGCUUGGUUUCCAAGGAAGGAGACACAGACACCUGUGUACCCGAGGGAGAAGUGUGCCCAGGAGCUGGGCUCCUGCGCCCUCGGGGCCUCUCCUAGGUUCAGUUAGGUAAGGUUAAAGCCUGUUCUACUGCCUGACCCUGGAAGGAGGAAGUUUUAUUUCCCUGUGGCUGAGAGAGGCCUUCUGAAAUUGUAGGGUGGAAGCUGAGAGAUUAGAGGUUUUAGGACCUGGGGGAGGAUUUGGACACCUGGUCCCCAGUAGGCUGGACCCUCUCUAUUCCUGAGGGUCUGUAGGACAAGGAGACAGAAGGUUCUGGAGGGACAGAAGAAGGAAGUGGAUUUCCCAAACCACAGGUGUCUGGUGUGCCCAAGGCUGAGGGCCCAGAGUCCUGGGGUCUGAAGCUGUGUAACAGGACGUGAGAGGCCUGGAGGUUUCCGUGGAAGGGGCUGGGUCGCGGAGAGCCAAGCUUCUUGGGCGCCCUGGGGAAUUUGGAGGUUGGACUCCACGUGCGGGAGGGGCCGAGGCGGGCGGAAGCUCGGCGUGCCUGGGUGAAAUACUCCACACCCAAAUCCCAGGUGGGAUUCAGACUGAGGGCCCAGACUCUUGAUCUCCGAGGUGAGAGGGCAUGCGUGCUGUGGAGAGCUCAGGUCCAGUUCCAGAGACAGGUGGGGGGGGGGGGCGGGCAGAGGCUCUGAUCACCUGUGAUCACCUGUGAGUCCCGGAGAACGUUCUCACCCGGGGAGGCUGGAAAUGCCUGCAGGGUGACAGAAGGAAGGUGGGCAGUGGAGCCCUGGGUACCCAGAGGGAGGAGGUGAAGCCCAGUGAAGAGGUCAGAACCUCUUGUGCGGUCGGGGAGGUUUUUGAGUGGCUGGGAGGCUGAGUCCCUGGGGGAAGGAGGGCAGUUUUGAGAGUCUGGGGUGGUUUCACGGUAGCUGGGUUGCAGAGAGAGGGAAGCAGAGACAGCGGCCCAGACUCCUGGGUUCUGCCACAGGACGUGGGAAACCCCAGUCAGGACGGAGGAGGGGGCUGGCACUUGGGUGACCAACUCAGCCCCUUAGGCCUGCCGCGUCUCCCCCCUCCCCCAGCUUGAGUCCUUUGUCCCCAGGGGAGGAAGGGCUGAGGGCCUGGGUUCCCACAUCUGGAACCUUCUUAGGACUCUU